UGACCGAUAGUGAACCAGUACCGUGAGGGAAAGGUGAAAAGAACCGCGGGAGCGGAGUGAAAUAGAACCUGAAACCGUAUGCUUACAAGAAGUCAGAGCCCGUUAAAGGGUGAUGGCGUGCCUUUUGUAGAAUGAACCGGCGAGUUACGUUAUCGUGCGAGGUUAAGUAGAAGAUACGGAGCCGAAGCGAAAGCGAGUCUUAAUAGGGCGACAGUACGAUGAUGUAGACCCGAAACCGUGUGAUCUAGCCAUGACCAGGUUGAAGUUCAGGUGAAACUGAAUGGAGGACCGAACCGACCCCCGUUGAAAAGUUGGCGGAUGAGUUGUGGCUAGGGGAGAAAUUCCAAUCGAACACGGAUAUAGCUGGUUCUCCCCGAAAUAGCUUUAGGGCUAGCGUCGAGGCUUAGUCAUGUGGAGGUAGAGCACUGAAUGUACGAUGGCCCCAUCCCGGGGUACUGAGUAUAAUCAAACUCCGAAUGCCAUGAAGACGUACUCGGCAGUCAGACUGUGGGUGAUAAGGUCCAUGGUCAAAAGGGAAACAGCCCAGACCGCCAGUUAAGGUCCCAAAAUGCAUGCUGAGUGGAAAAGGAUGUGGGGAUGCACAGACAACUAGGAGGUUGGCUCAGAAGCAGCCACCCUUCAAAGAGUGCGUAACAGCUCACUAGUCGAGUGACCCUGCGCCGAAAAUGUACCGGGGCUAAGCAUGCUACCGAAGCUGCGGAUUUGUAGGAAUACAAGUGGUAGGGGAGCGUUCUAUGCAGCGUCGAAGCCAUAUCGUGAGGAGUGGUGGAGCGCAUAGAAGUGAGAAUGCCGGUGUGAGUAGCGAGAUGUAGGUGAGAAUCCUACACACCGAUAGCCCAAGGAUUCCAGGGGAAGGUUCGUCCGCCCUGGGUAAGUCGGGACCUAACGCGAGGCCGAAAGGCGUAGUGGAUGGAAAACAGGCAGAUAUUCCUGUACCCGCGAUGGAAAUGAAGGAAUGACGGAGAAGGUAAGUAUGACCCACUAAAUGGAUUGUGGGCGAAGCGUAUAGCAGGAUGGCAGUGAAAUGCGUCAUCAGGAUGUAAAGCGUGAAAGGUAAGGGAACGCCCAAGGGCAAGUACCGAAGCAUAUGCAGCCAGCUUCCAGGAAAAGUUUCUAGUAUAUUCCAUAGCGGCCCGUACCAAAACCGACACAGGUGGGCAAGGAGAGGAUCCUGAGGUGAGCGAGAGAACUGUUGCCAAGGAACUCGGCAAAAUGACUCCGUAAGUUAGCGAUAAGGAGUGCUCUUGUAAAAGAGAGCCGCAGUGAAGAGGCCCAAGCGACUGUUUAACUAAAACACAGCUCUCUGCAAAGUCGCAAGACGAAGUAUAGGGGGUGACGCCUGCCCGGUGCUGGAAGGUUAAGAGGAUAUGUUAGUCGCAAGACGAAGCAUUGAAUUGAAGCCCCAGUGAACGGCGGCCGUAACUAUAACGGUCCUAAGGUAGCGAAAUUCCUUGUCAGGUAAGUUCUGACCCGCACGAAAGGCGUAA
This 1508-nucleotide ribosomal RNA is filed under the name human gut metagenome. RNAcentral's name for it is "bacterial LSU rRNA". It matches the Rfam family "Bacterial large subunit ribosomal RNA", at positions 481 to 2004 of the family's 2925-position model. The record is from RNAcentral.